RNAcentral lists this transfer RNA (68 nucleotides) under Cymbiola nobilis. RNAcentral's name for it is "tRNA-Ala". The record is from RNAcentral. Lineage: Eukaryota; Metazoa; Mollusca; Gastropoda; Neogastropoda; Volutidae.
GACUCGAUACUUUAAAUUAAAAGACUUGAUUUGCAUUCAGGGAAUAAGCUGCUGUUGCUUUUGGGUCA